UAGAUAUAUUUUUCAUAUAUACAUACAUAUAAUAUAUAUAAAUAUAUGAAAAAUUGAUGUGGAUACUCAAAUGAACGCUCUUGAUGGGUGUAACACCGGAAUGAGCUUAUAUCUUUAAAAAUGUCAAUAGUUCUCAAAAUACAAGAUACAAGGUCAUUUCUUAAUUAUGAAUCUCGAGAUA
Molecule: long non-coding RNA, 181 nt
Organism: Cotesia glomerata
Lineage: Eukaryota; Metazoa; Arthropoda; Insecta; Hymenoptera; Braconidae
Exons: 2
Source: RefSeq, a predicted model, not a curated record